CUGCUCCGGGGAGAUGAAGUGCACGUGGGUAUCAAUCGCACCAGCGGUGAUGAUCUUGCCUUCGCCGCCAAUAACCUCGGUGCCCACGCCGAUCAUGACGUCGACAUCGUCCAUGAUGUCUGGGUUACCGGCAUUUCCGAUCUUCAGAAUCUUGCCGUCUUUGAUUGCAAUAUCUGCGGUAAAAAUGCCGGUGUGGUCGAUGACCGUUCCGUUGGUGAUCACCAAGUCUGGCACCAUAUCGUUACCACGCAUGCGCGAGUUCUGGCCCAUACCAUCGCG
RNAcentral lists this small RNA (279 nucleotides) under Corynebacterium propinquum. RNAcentral's name for it is "5' ureB small RNA". It matches the Rfam family "5' ureB small RNA". Lineage: Bacteria; Bacillati; Actinomycetota; Actinomycetes; Mycobacteriales; Corynebacteriaceae. The record is from RNAcentral.